UGCAAGUCGAGCGGACAGAAGGGAGCUUGCUCCCGGAUGUUAGCGGCGGACGGGUGAGUAACACGUGGGUAACCUGCCUGUAAGACUGGGAUAACUCCGGGAAACCGGAGCUAAUACCGGAUAGUUCCUUGAACCGCAUGGUUCAAGGAUGAAAGACGGUUUCGGCUGUCACUUACAGAUGGACCCGCGGCGCAUUAGCUAGUUGGUGAGGUAACGGCUCACCAAGGCGACGAUGCGUAGCCGACCUGAGAGGGUGAUCGGCCACACUGGGACUGAGACACGGCCCAGACUCCUACGGGAGGCAGCAGUAGGGAAUCUUCCGCAAUGGACGAAAGUCUGACGGAGCAACGCCGCGUGAGUGAUGAAGGUUUUCGGAUCGUAAAGCUCUGUUGUUAGGGAAAAACAAGUGCAAGAGUAACUGCUUGCACCUUGACGGUACCUAACCAGAAAGCCACGGCUAACUACGUGCCAGCACCCGCGGUAAUACGUAGGUGGCAAGCGUUGUCCGGAAUUAUUGGGCGUAAGGGCUCGCAGGCGGUUUCUUAAAUCUGAUGUGAAAACCCCCGGCUCAACCGGGGAGGGGUCAUUGGAAACUGGGAAACUUGAGUGCAAAAGA
RNAcentral lists this ribosomal RNA (616 nucleotides) under Bacillus sp. (in: firmicutes). RNAcentral's name for it is "bacterial SSU rRNA". It matches the Rfam family "Bacterial small subunit ribosomal RNA", at positions 56 to 655 of the family's 1533-position model. Lineage: Bacteria; Bacillati; Bacillota; Bacilli; Caryophanales; Bacillaceae. The record is from RNAcentral.